RNAcentral lists this transfer RNA (72 nucleotides) under Camelus bactrianus (Bactrian camel). It matches the Rfam family "tRNA". From Rfam's summary of the family: Transfer RNA (tRNA) molecules are approximately 80 nucleotides in length. Their secondary structure includes four short double-helical elements and three loops (D, anti-codon, and T loops). Further hydrogen bonds mediate the characteristic L-shaped molecular structure. tRNAs have two regions of fundamental functional importance: the anti-codon, which is responsible for specific mRNA codon recognition, and the 3' end, to which the tRNAs corresponding amino acid is attached (by aminoacyl-tRNA synthetases). tRNAs cope with the degeneracy of the genetic code in two manners: having more than one tRNA (with a specific anti-codon) for a particular amino acid; and 'wobble' base-pairing, i.e. permitting non-standard base-pairing at the 3rd anti-codon position. Lineage: Eukaryota; Metazoa; Chordata; Mammalia; Artiodactyla; Camelidae. The record is from Rfam by way of RNAcentral. RNAcentral also lists the same sequence under 3 other names.
GAAGGCAUAGCUCAGUGGUAGAGCACAUGCCUAGCAUGUGUGAGGUCCUGGGUUCAAUUCCCAGUCCCUCCA